RNAcentral lists this ribosomal RNA (510 nucleotides) under uncultured bacterium. RNAcentral's name for it is "partial 16S ribosomal RNA". It matches the Rfam family "Bacterial small subunit ribosomal RNA", at positions 28 to 507 of the family's 1533-position model. The record is from RNAcentral.
GACGAACGCUGGCGGCGUGCUUAACACAUGCAAGUCGAACGAAGAGCGAUGGAAGCUUGCUUCUAUCAAUCUUAGUGGCGAACGGGUGAGUAACGCGUAAUCAACCUGCCCUUCAGAGGGGGACAAAAGUUGGAAAGGAUUGCUCAUACCGCAUACGCUCUCAUCUCGGCAUCGAGGAUAGAUGAAAGGUGGCCGGUACAUGUAAGCUAUCACAGAAGGAGGGGGUUGCGGCUGUUUAGCUCGGAGGAGGGGUCACGGCGCAACAAGGCGAUGAUCAGUAGCAGGACUGAGAGGAUGAGCGGCCGCAUUGAGAGUGUGACACGGCCCAUUCUCCUACAGGAAGCAGCCGUAGGGAUUCUUGCGCAAUGGGCGAAAGUCUGACGGAGAAACGCCGCGGCAGGAUGGACGGCCUUCGGGUUGUAAAGCUCUGUUUAUCGGGUCGAAAGGCCUUCUUGCGAAUAGUGAGAAGGAUUGACGGUACCGGAAUAGAAAGCCACGGCUAACUACGUG